GCAGACACUCCUACGGGAGGCAGCAGUGGGGAAUAUUGCACAAUGGGCGCAAGCCUGAUGCAGCCAUGCCGCGUGUAUGAAGAAGGCCUUCGGGUUGUAAAGUACUUUCAGCAGUGAGGAAGGUGGGUAUGGUUAAUAGCAUACUCAUUUGACGUUAGCUGCAGAAGAAGCACCGGCUAACUCCGUGCCAGCAGCCGCGGUAAUACGGAGGGUGCGAGCGUUAAUCGGAAUUACUGGGCGUAAAGCGCAUGCAGGUGGUUUGUUAAGUCAGAUGUGAAAGCCCGGGGCUCAACCUCGGAAUUGCAUUUUGAAAACUGGCAAACUAGAGUACUGUAGAGGGGGGUAGGAAUUUCAGGUGUAGCGGUGAAAUGCGUAGAGAUCUGAAGGAAUACCGGUGGCGAAGGCGGCCCCCUGGACAGAUACUGACACUCAGAUGCGAAAGCGUGGGGAGGCAAACAGGAUUAGAUACCCUGGUAG
Molecule: ribosomal RNA, 477 nt
Filed under: uncultured bacterium
Lineage: Bacteria
Description: bacterial SSU rRNA
Rfam family: Bacterial small subunit ribosomal RNA
Source: RNAcentral